This 244-nucleotide ribosomal RNA is filed under the name uncultured bacterium. Its description in RNAcentral is "partial 16S ribosomal RNA". It matches the Rfam family "Bacterial small subunit ribosomal RNA", at positions 15 to 248 of the family's 1533-position model. The record is from RNAcentral.
GAUCAUGGGCUCAGGAUGAACGCUAGCUACAGGCUUAACACAUGCAAGUCGAGGGGCAGCAUUUCAGUUUGCUUGCAAACUGGAGAUGGCGACCGGCGCACGGGUGAGUAACACGUAUCCAACCUGCCGAUAACUCGGGGAUAGCCUUUCGAAAGAAAGAUUAAUACCCGACGGUAUAAUCAGACCGCAUGGUCUUGUUAUUAAAGAAUUUCGGUUAUCGAUAGGGAUGCGUUCCAUUAGGCAG